AAUGAACGCUGGCGGCAUGCCUAACACAUGCAAGUCGAACGAAGGCUUCGGCCUUAGUGGCGCACGGGUGCGUAACGCGUGGGAGUCUGCCCUCAGGUUCGGAAUAACAGCGAGAAAUUGCUGCUAAUACCGGAUGAUAUCGCGAGAUCAAAGAUUUAUCGCCUGAGGAUGAGCCCGCGUAGGAUUAGCUAGUUGGUGUGGUAAAGGCGCACCAAGGCGACGAUCCUUAGCUGGUCUGAGAGGAUGAUCAGCCACACUGGGACUGAGACACGGCCCAGACUCCUACGGGAGGCAGCAGUGGGGAAUAUUGGACAAUGGGCGAAAGCCUGAUCCAGCAAUGCCGCGUGAGUGAUGGAGGCCUUAGGGUUGUAAAGCUCUUUUACCCGGGAUGAUAAUGACAGUACCGGGAGAAUAAGCUCCGGCUAACUCCGUGCCAGCCGCCGCAGUAA
RNAcentral lists this ribosomal RNA (449 nucleotides) under uncultured bacterium. RNAcentral's name for it is "partial 16S ribosomal RNA". It matches the Rfam family "Bacterial small subunit ribosomal RNA", at positions 29 to 523 of the family's 1533-position model. The record is from RNAcentral.